UGAAAAUGGCUCAGGAACGAAACGCUGGCGGCGUGCCUAAUACACGCAAGUAGAAACGCUGAAGAGAGGAGCUUGCUCUUCUUGGAAGAGUUUGCGAACGGGUGAGUAACGCGUAGGUAACCUGCCUUGUAGCGGGGGAUAACUAUUGGAAACGAUAGCUAAUACCGCAUAACAAUAGGUGACACAUGUCAUUUAUUUGAAAGGGGCAAUUCGCUCCACUACAAGAUGGACCUGCGUUGUAUUAGCUAGUAGGUGAGGUAACGGCUCACCUAGGCGACGAUACAUAGCCGACCUGAGAGGGUGAUCGGCCACACUGGGACUGAGACACGGCCCAGACUCCUACGGGAGGCAGCAGUAGGGAAUCUUCGGCAAUGGGGGCAACCCUGACCGAGCAACGCCGCGUGAGUGAAGAAGGUUUUCGGAUCGUAAAGCUCUGUUGUAAGUCAAGAACGAGUGUGAGAGUGGAAAGUUCACACUGUGACGGUAGCUUACCAGAAAGGGACGGCUAACUACGUGCCAGCAGCCGCGGUAAUACGUAGGUCCCGAGCGUUGUCCGGAUUUAUUGGGCGUAAAGCGAGCGCAGGCGGUUUGAUAAGUCUGAAGUUAAAGGCUGUGGCUCAACCAUAGUUCGCUUUGGAAACUGUCAAACUUGAGUGCAGAAGGGGAGAGUGGAAUUCCAUGUGUAGCGGUGAAAUGCGUAGAUAUAUGGAGGAACACCGGUGGCGAAAGCGGCUCUCUGGUCUGUAACUGACGCUGAGGCUCGAAAGCGUGGGGAGCGAACAGGAUUAGAUACCCUGGUAGUCCACGCCGUAAACGAUGAGUGCUAGGUGUUGGAUCCUUUCCGGGAUUCAGUGCCGCAGCUAACGCAUUAAGCACUCCGCCUGGGGAGUACGACCGCAAGGUUGAAACUCAAAGGAAUUGACGGGGGCCCGCACAAGCGGUGGAGCAUGUGGUUUAAUUCGAAGCAACGCGAAGAACCUUACCAGGUCUUGACAUCCCGAUGCUAUUUCUAGAGAUAGAAAGUUACUUCGGUACAUCGGUGACAGGUGGUGCAUGGUUGUCGUCAGCUCGUGUCGUGAGAUGUUGGGUUAAGUCCCGCAACGAGCGCAACCCCUAUUGUUAGUUGCCAUCAUUCAGUUGGGCACUCUAGCGAGACUGCCGGUAAUAAACCGGAGGAAGGUGGGGAUGACGUCAAAUCAUCAUGCCCCUUAUGACCUGGGCUACACACGUGCUACAAUGGUUGGUACAACGAGUUGCGAGUCGGUGACGGCAAGCUAAUCUCUUAAAGCCAAUCUCAGUUCGGAUUGUAGGCUGCAACUCGCCUACAUGAAGUCGGAAUCGCUAGUAAUCGCGGAUCAGCACGCCGCGGUGAAUACGUUCCCGGGCCUUGCACACACCGCCCGUC
RNAcentral lists this ribosomal RNA (1405 nucleotides) under uncultured bacterium. Its description in RNAcentral is "bacterial SSU rRNA". It matches the Rfam family "Bacterial small subunit ribosomal RNA". The record is from RNAcentral.